This is a long non-coding RNA of Dioscorea cayenensis subsp. rotundata (Guinea yam), 419 nucleotides long. RefSeq lists it as uncharacterized. Lineage: Eukaryota; Viridiplantae; Streptophyta; Magnoliopsida; Dioscoreales; Dioscoreaceae. The record is from RefSeq and is a predicted model, not a curated record. The transcript is spliced from 4 exons.
UGACAAUGCAUGACUCAGCCAUGCAACUACUAUCAAGCACACUCUCACAAUUCCAGAGUUCUUAGAAGCCAAGCAUCUGGCCAAUGUAUCCAAUGAAGAAAAAUGGCCCCCCAACAUGAGAAGAGCUCUACGAGAAUUUUCUGCCGUUUAAGAAUGAUCCGAUUGCUAACCUUCUGCAGCAUUGAGAAACAAAUGAAUUGAAAUGAAUACAUGGAUGAAUCAUUUGUUCAUUAAAUUACCGCACUAGAUCAGUGUGUUAUACUACUCAAAGAAGCAGCAUGAAUUUAGAAGCUCAAGAAUCCAUGGUCCUCUUAUAUUCACAGACAAGAAGCUCCUGCAACUCCCAUCUGCCUCAAUACAUAACAGCAGAAGGGAAACUACACAGAUCUUUUCUUCUAAAUUCCCCAAUUCAAGCCUCC